RNAcentral lists this ribosomal RNA (330 nucleotides) under uncultured bacterium. RNAcentral describes it as "bacterial SSU rRNA". It matches the Rfam family "Bacterial small subunit ribosomal RNA", at positions 568 to 898 of the family's 1533-position model. The record is from RNAcentral.
CGUGUAGGCGGGUCUUUAAGUCAGGGGUGAAAUGCCAAGGCUCAACCUUGGAACUGCCUUUGAUACUGGGGAUCUUGAGUCCGGGAGAGGUGAGUGGAACUGCGAGUGUAGAGGUGAAAUUCGUAGAUAUUCGCAAGAACACCAGUGGCGAAGGCGGCUCACUGGCCCGGAACUGACGCUGAGACGCGAAAGCGUGGGGAGCAAACAGGAUUAGAUACCCUGGUAGUCCACGCUGUAAACGAUGGAUGCUAGCCGUUGGGGAGCUUGCUCUUCAGUGGCGCAGCUAACGCUUUAAGCAUCCCGCCUGGGGAGUACGGUCGCAAGAUUAAA